RNAcentral lists this long non-coding RNA (625 nucleotides) under Androctonus crassicauda. Lineage: Eukaryota; Metazoa; Arthropoda; Arachnida; Scorpiones; Buthidae. The record is from RNAcentral.
UGAUGAUAAUAUUCAGAAAAUACUGGAGCACAAACUAUAAUGGAAGAUUCAAUAAUAAAUUGUUAUUUAAAAUUGAAACUACUCACUCUAUAAUACAUCACAUAAAGCUAUUGAUUAAUAUAUAUCAUAAAAAGUUAUGGACAUUUAAACACUGUUUCACUAUCUCCAUUGCAGGGAUAGUGCUAUUGCUCUCUGUAAUCCUUAUGAUGAGGAAAGCAAUUCAAAUUUUUCUUAUGUAUUAGACAUAAUUUGGGAAGGAUCAUUGUUUUUGCUGGGUACAGCUGGCCAAGUAUAUUUCCGCAAUACAUCAACACCAAUAGUACUUAAUAUUCAUCACUCUUACAUGAAGGAUCACAUGCAUUUGGUUUUGACUUUUCUUCUAAUCAAACAAGCAGUUAUAACCUCAUAUCCAGGUUAUAUUGACUGUUAAUCUUAUGGAUUAUCUCUCAAUAAACAUGCAAAGUUCUGAUCAAUAUCUAAUGGCUGAAUAAUAGACUCAUAUCAGGCACAAAGGGCAGCCCCCAUGUAUUUAUAUUAUCCUAUUAUUCAACCAACAAUCAAAAUGACCUGGAUAGGAGGUUGUAACUGUUUGUUGAUUAUGAGAGGGAUUAACUCUAAAUGCUUG